This 253-nucleotide ribosomal RNA is filed under the name uncultured bacterium. RNAcentral's name for it is "partial 16S ribosomal RNA". It matches the Rfam family "Bacterial small subunit ribosomal RNA", at positions 524 to 776 of the family's 1533-position model. The record is from RNAcentral.
UACGAAGGGGGCUAGCGUUGUUCGGAAUUACUGGGCGUAAAGGGCGCGUAGGCGGUGUGUCAAGUCAGGCGUGAAAGCCCCGGGCUCAACCUGGGAACAGCGCUUGAGACUGGCACGCUCGAGUUCGGGAGAGGAUGGUGGAAUUCCCAGUGUAGAGGUGAAAUGCGUAGAUAUUGGGAGGAACACCAGUGGCGAAGGCGGCUCACUGGACCGGAACUGACGCUGAGGCGCGAAAGCGUGGGGAGCAAACAGG